CCUACGGGAGGCAGCAGUGAGGAAUAUUGGUCAAUGGGCGCAAGCCUGAACCAGCCAUGCCGCGUGCAGGAUGACGGUCCUAUGGAUUGUAAACUGCUUUUAUACGAGAAGAAACACUCCUUCGUGAAGGAGCUUGACGGUAUCGUAAGAAUAAGGAUCGGCUAACUCCGUGCCAGCAGCCGCGGUAAUACGGAGGAUCCAAGCGUUAUCCGGAAUCAUUGGGUUUAAAGGGUCCGUAGGCGGUUAGAUAAGUCAGUGGUGAAAGCCCAUCGCUCAACGGUGGAACGGCCAUUGAUACUGUUUAACUUGAAUUAUUAGGAAGUAACUAGAAUAUGUAGUGUAGCGGUGAAAUGCUUAGAGAUUACAUGGAAUACCAAUUGCGAAGGCAGGUUACUACUAAUGGAUUGACGCUGAUGGACGAAAGCGUGGGUAGCGAACAGGAUUAGAUACCCUGGUAGUC
This 460-nucleotide ribosomal RNA is filed under the name Weissella confusa. Its description in RNAcentral is "bacterial SSU rRNA". It matches the Rfam family "Bacterial small subunit ribosomal RNA", at positions 338 to 795 of the family's 1533-position model. Lineage: Bacteria; Bacillati; Bacillota; Bacilli; Lactobacillales; Lactobacillaceae. The record is from RNAcentral.